Molecule: small nuclear RNA, 107 nt
Organism: Phyllostomus discolor (pale spear-nosed bat)
Lineage: Eukaryota; Metazoa; Chordata; Mammalia; Chiroptera; Phyllostomidae
Source: RefSeq, a predicted model, not a curated record
GCACUCACUUUGGCAGCACAUAUACUAAAACUAGAAUGAUACAGAGAAGAUUAGCAUGGCCCCUGUGUAAGGAUGACAUGUAAAUUCAUGAAGUGUUCUGUAUUUCU